GUCACAUACAUGGCGAGUCCACAACGUCUUGAAAUUGUUUCUGUAAGGUGCAGUGAAUGGGAAUGUUCUGUCGAUGAUCCUCACUCCUGUUAGGAACAUACCAACAGUGUCAUGAAGUGUCAUUCAGUAAAUAAUGACAAUUUUAAUGAGAAUUUGCUUUAAAAGUUGGAUGAAAGAUUUUAUGUUGUUUAUGGCAGUGUCUUAUGUCUUCUUUAAACUAAAGCUUCAUUGUAAUUCAGCCUGCUAGGGAUGUUUUCUGCCUUUUUCUCCCUCUGUAGGAUCUCACAAGAGGCUUCUUCAGGUUUCUCUGAUGUGUGUGUGGGGUUGGGAGGAGAAAAAGGCUCAGAGAUGUUGCUCUUACAGUUGCACCAUUUUGGGAUUGAAACAGGAAGUGUGCUCAGAGGAAACGUAAUGUCCCCCUUGCCCCCUUUUACUUUUUCUUGUGUUUCCUAUUCCUCCCUUUGUCCAUCCCUUCCCCACUCUGUGCCAUUCAGUGGGCCCUGAUUUUUCUUCUCCUUUCUGCUGCCAGAGAUCUGUUUCUCAUGAGUUUGUCUGAUGUGCAUGCAUUUUAUUGACCUUCAUUUACAUUCGGCUCACUUCCUGCGUAAAUAAAUCCAAGAUGAUGGGUGAUUUCUAAAACAACAGAGAAAAAGUUGUGGUCUGGCCGUUUCUGGAUCCCCUCCCUGUUUCCUGAGACGGGCCUGUAAUGCAGCAAAGCUGGUCUGAUUAACAGCCAAAACAAAGGUCAGACUGCUGGCUAACUCAGAUAUUGCCCGACUCCAGUUCUGUUAUUCUGCCCAGCGGACUAAUAGCUGUGGCUGAUGAGCAUUGUAGAAUGAGGCCUACAGUCGGUCUGACAUUACUUAUCAGGAGCUUUGCAUGAAAGCUCCCUGUGUUCAUAUAGAUCUUGAUUCGAUUCACCCCUGGAAAUGAGAAAAGCAUCAAUGAAGGAAAGGCUUUCCCCCCCUUAACCUCUCCACUGACAAAAUAAAUAAACAGCCUGUCGGCAAAAGGCAGUUUAUUUCACCACAGAGCACAAAGGAAAUGCAUCAGAACAAAAAAACAAUAUAUAGAAACAUAAACAUUGAAUGAAUCUCGUGAUUUUUCUUAGUUUUUCUUGCCUUUUUAAAAUUAUGUUUUACUUCAUUUUGACGUUUUCCUCCUGAACAUCCAGUGCAAUGGCACUCACUAAGGAAAAAUCAGAACAAGUGUGAGAGAAGGAGGGUUAGUUAAUUUUAUACCAGUUACAGUCAUACCUGAAAAUCAAAAAUCCCAGCAAUCCACAAGAUGGAUCAUCUUUCAGAUAAAUGUCCACUGUAUGCCAGGUCUUCAGCAAACACCUCUAGUAAUCUACUGUAAGAGGCUGAACCAAUAAUCGCUCCUCUGAAAGUGCCUAAGAUCUGAACUGAGAAUGAUACUGGAGCUACUAUAUAAAGCAUGGUACUGUUAGCCCCCGGCAGGCAUUGGUACCUCUCAGCACAUCAGCACAUUUAUCCAUUGAACGUCAGUUGAUGUGUAUUUUGUGUACAACAAAGACCACAAUGGAAGUAUUUUGCUGCCAUCUAGCUGUCAAAGUCUUUGUCUAAUUAUGGCUGAUUUAGCUAAUUUACAUUCUUGUAUUUAUUUUAUGCACUGUUUUCAUUCUCAAUUAAUCAUCUCCUUUACAAAAACAGAUUGAUUUUGUUUUAUUUAAAUUAAAUGUAAUAAAUGUCAUAUGAUAAAUGGGUUUGAUUCACUGUAAACAUUCUAUGUUUUCAGGCCUACACAUUAAUAUUAUUAUAAUUAAUGUAGAAUUGGACUCAAAGACAUAUCUACAUAAAAAGUUUCAUAGUCAAAGGAGAACUGCUGAGUGCUUUAAAAAAUUACAACAUUUGGCCCCUUGGAAGGAAAAUGUAAAAAAAUUGGAAGAUAAGAGUAAAUUUCUGACUGACACAGUGUCAGUCAGAAACAGUGUAUUAAAGGGAAAAAAAAUAUGCUCACUUUGAAAACCAACUAACACAGUAUUAGAAUUAAGGCGUGUGUGGUGCAGUGAGUGACGAGUUUUUCCACCUCUUGGCUAAGCAGAGGAAACACAGAGUGAGAAAAGCAGCCGGCCGGUGUCUUCGUUUCUGCCAUACCAAAAUACGACAGUCAUGUCAAAAAAUAAAAAAAAUUUCUCCACUUUAAUUUACGAAGGCAUACAGUAGUUGAGUGUCUCUGGCCAACCUGACAAACAGUAACACAUUUAUUUAUAUUUUGGUCUUGAGUGCAUUCUUCACAACCUGAACCUGAAUUUUUAUGCAUUUUUGAUGUCACCCUCCUCAUGAUUGAUGCAACUAAACAUGCAGAAGAUUUAAUAAUUUAUUUGAAUUACUGCUGACAUAUAAUGAAGAGCAUCACGCCUUCAGUUGUUCAAAGCAUUUUGGAUGAGAACUUUUUUUCCAUCCCAUCAAAUUUGACAAGAGUUAUCAGGGAUACUUAUUUACAUCUGCAGGCUGUGUUGUACUGGUGGAAAUUACUUUGUUACUUUUAGAUUUUCCAUUGUUGCAUGAACCAGCUUGCUGGAAUUUGAGUGUUUUUCUUCAAUAAAGCAAACAUCAAACAUUCAAUUAGUUUAAUCAGACUGCUUUAGUGCAGCACAUGUUUCCUCUGUUCCAUCCUAAAAUAUAUGAAUGCACAGUGCUUUAAAAUGUUGCAAGCAAGGGCCUCUAAUAUUUAAAUAGCUAAAAUAAUUUAUUUAUAAAAUGGUAGCAUUCAGCUUAAAUCUGUGGAGCUUUUUUACUAGGAAUUUAUGCAGUUUUUUGUUUGAUUUUCUAUGAAUGACCUCACUAGUAAAAUGUCAGUAUUUAAAAUUGCUAUCUAAUUUUCUUGAGCUAUUGGUCUGUGCCAUUUUGAGCAUAAGGAGAAGAAAAUAUUCCAAAAAAUAAAUACAGUGCCCUCUACUUUUAUUGGUACCAUUGGUAAAGAUGUAUAAAAUGCAUGAAAAGAGAUUAAUCAUGCUGAAGUUGCAUCAUUUAUUUAUAAAUCUUCCUCAUACAUUUGAGUUAGCUGUUGAGUUGAGUUGGGUGUGUGGUGCUGGGGCCAGUUCUCUUGUCUGUAAAGAUACGCCUCUUCUUGGUAAAAUUAUUGGGCAUCAUGGGAUCCAAUUCAAUUGUUUUGCUGACGAUAUGCUGAUGUAUUCAAUCAAGAAAGUCACUUGAAGACAAAAAAGUCUGGUUGAUCUAAUUUUCUGCUUUUGAAUAGAGUCAUUCCCAA
Molecule: long non-coding RNA, 3234 nt
Organism: Poecilia reticulata (guppy)
Lineage: Eukaryota; Metazoa; Chordata; Actinopteri; Cyprinodontiformes; Poeciliidae
Source: RefSeq, a predicted model, not a curated record